Molecule: ribosomal RNA, 472 nt
Filed under: uncultured bacterium
Lineage: Bacteria
Description: bacterial SSU rRNA
Rfam family: Bacterial small subunit ribosomal RNA
Source: RNAcentral
UGGGGAAUAUUGGACAAUGGGGGAAACCCCGAUCCAGCGACGCCGCGUGUGUGAAGAAGGCCUGCGGGUUGUAAAGCACUUUCGGUGGGAACGAAAUAUGCCGGGCUAAUACCCCGGUAGGCUGACGUUACUCAAUGAAGAAGCACCGGCUAACUCUGUGCCAGCAGCCGCGGUAAUACAGAGGGUGCGAGCGUUAAUCGGAAUUACUGGGCGUAAAGCGCACGUAGGUGGCGACGUAAGUCGGGUGUGAAAGCCCCGGGCUCAACCUGGGAACCGCAUUCGAGACUGCGUUGCUGGAGUACGGAAGAGGAGGGCGGAAUUCCCGGUGUAGCGGUGAAAUGCGUAGAUAUCGGGAGGAACAUCAGUGGCGAAGGCGGCCCUCUGGUCCAGUACUGACACUCAAGUGCGAAAGCGUGGGGAGCAAACAGGAUUAGAUACCCUCGUAGUCCCUGAGCGGGCUGGCAAGGCGCAU